UCACGAAAUGGGUUGUACUAGAAGUCUGCGCGCUGACCCGCAAGGGAGGCAGCGGCCCAAGGUAUGACUCAUGAUUGGGGUG
RNAcentral lists this ribosomal RNA (82 nucleotides) under uncultured bacterium. RNAcentral's name for it is "partial 16S ribosomal RNA". The record is from RNAcentral.